Molecule: long non-coding RNA, 297 nt
Filed under: Physcomitrium patens
Lineage: Eukaryota; Viridiplantae; Streptophyta; Bryopsida; Funariales; Funariaceae
Description: long non-coding RNA (PPAT_LNC005299)
Source: RNAcentral
AGCUCAAUUAAAUUUUAUUGAAGUUAUAAAAGAAACACAAAGAAAUCCUAAAGAAAUAUAAAAGAAUAUUAAAAAAAACUUAGUCAAACCCUAACAAAAAUCUAAUAGAACCUUAAAUUCUAACCAAAUCCUAAUCCUAAUCCAAUCUUAAUCAAAUCCUAGAUAAACCCUAAAUCCUAAACCAAAUCUUAAUCAAAUCUUAAUUCCUAACUAAACCCUAAUCCAAAUCCUAAACCCUAAAUCAAAUCCUAUCCAAAUCUUAAACCCUAAACUAAAUCCUAAUUCAAACGCUAAAUC